UACCAGCUCUCCGAGUGGUAGGGAUGAUUAUUGGGCUUAAAGCGUCCGUAGCCGGCUUAGCAAGUCUCCUGUUAAAUUCAGCGACCUAAUCGUUGAGCCGCGGGAGAUACUACUAGGCUAGGAGGCGGGAGAGGUCAACGGUACUUCCGGGGUAGGGGUGAAAUCCUAUAAUCCCGGGAGGACCACCAGUGGCGAAGGCUGUUGACUAGAACGCGCUCGACGGUGAGGGACGAAAGCUGGGGGAGCGAACCGGAUUAGAUACCUGGGUAGUCCCAGCUGUAAACGAUGCGAGCUAGGUGUUGGGGUGGCUACGUGCCACUUCAGUGCCGCAGGGAAGCCAUUAAGCUCGCCGCCUGGGGAGUACGGCCGCAAGGCUGAAACUUAAAGGAAUUGGCGGGGGAGCACCACAAGGCGUGAAGCUUGCGGUUC
RNAcentral lists this ribosomal RNA (429 nucleotides) under uncultured archaeon. RNAcentral's name for it is "bacterial SSU rRNA". It matches the Rfam family "Archaeal small subunit ribosomal RNA", at positions 474 to 903 of the family's 1478-position model. The record is from RNAcentral.